RNAcentral lists this ribosomal RNA (209 nucleotides) under uncultured bacterium. RNAcentral's name for it is "partial 16S ribosomal RNA". It matches the Rfam family "Bacterial small subunit ribosomal RNA", at positions 1292 to 1500 of the family's 1533-position model. The record is from RNAcentral.
UUCGGAUUGUAGUCUGCAACUCGACUACAUGAAGCUGGAAUCGCUAGUAAUCGCAGAUCAGAAUGCUGCGGUGAAUACGUUCCCGGGUCUUGUACACACCGCCCGUCACACCAUGGGAGUCGGAAAUGCCCGAAGCCGGUGACCCAACCAAAAGGAGGGAGCCGUCGAAGGCAGGUCUGAUAACUGGGGUGAAGUCGUAACAAGGUAGC